AUGGCUGGGUGGGGAUUUCUAACCUUGGUCUCCGGAGUCAUAGUUCAAUGCUCAAACCAUGCAACCUACCUAUUUUUCUCUAUAGUUUUGUCAGCACAGCAACAGGGAUGUUACAGUCAGUCCUCCAUAUUUCCUGGGGUUAGGGGAACAGGGCCUCUCGCCGGCCGCACCGGGAAAGCAAAACACGCGGUGCCAAGGCAAGCUUCUCUCGGGCAGAUCUCUCGGGCCCGCCGCUGCAGCCUCUCCCCGGGCCUCUCUCUUCUCCGGCUUCUCCUCCUGCCUCUCCCUCUGCCCGCCUUCGCUCCGGAUGCAGCAAGCGGCGCAGACAGGAAACCCAUCCCGACCCCCGGCUGGCCGCAGACGGCAGACAAAGAGAGAGCGCAGCCUCCCGGUCCUUGGCGAAGUGGCCAGGGCCCUCUUGCGGCGGGAGAGCGAGGCAGAGGCAGGCUCCCGAUAGACUGGCAGGCAGCGGCAAACUUGGGCCCUCUCUCCGGGGGUUUUGGACUCCAACUCCCACCAUUGCUCACAGCCUCAGGCCCCUUCCUUUCCCCCCUCAGCCGCUUAUGGCCAUACCGCUUGGAAAACUCACAGCAACCCAAUGGUUCAAGCCAUGAAAGCCUUCGACAACACAUUGGAUUUUAAUGUAUUAUAUUAUUUUGUGUAUCGUUGAAUUGUUUUGUCAAAUAUGUUGUGUCGUUAUUCGGGCUUGUCCCUGUUGUGAGACGCCGAGUCCCUUCGGGUAAAUGGGGCGGGAUAUAAAAAUAAAGUUUAUUAUUAUUUUAUUGUAUGACACAGAAAACAAGAUAGAUAUGCUGGAAUUCGUAUCGCAAAAUCAGUCAAACACUUCCCAAGUCUCUAGGACUGCGUCAUGUAUUUUCGGAUGAUGCAUGCAGAUCCCAGUAGGGUGGCCUUUUGCAGUUGGCAGAUCGUGAUUUUGUCAAGGUCUAUUGUUUCCAAAUGCCGGCUGAGAUCUUUUGGCACGGCACCUCAUGUGCCCAUCACCACCGGGACCACCUGCACUGGUUUCUGCCAGUCUUUGAAGUUCAAUCUUGAGGCCCUGAUAGCGGCUGAGUUUUUCCUGUUGUUUUUCGUCAAUGCGACUGUCACCUGGGAUGGCAACAUCAAUGAUUCAGACCUUUUUCUUUUCCACAACUGUGAUGUCUGGUGUGUUGUGUUCCAGAACUUUGUCAGUCUGGAUUCGGAAGUCCCACAGUAUCUUUGCAUGCUCAUUUUCCAAUACUUUUGCAGGUUUGUGAUCCCACCAGUUCUUUACUGCAGGGAGGUGAUACUUGAGGCAUAAGUUCCAAUGAAUCAUUUGGGCCACAUAGCUGUGCCUCAGUUUGUAGUCUGUCUGUGCGAUUUUCUUACAGCAGCUGAGGAUAUUAUCAAUAGUUUUGUCAGUUUCCUGCACAGUCUGCAUCUUGAGUCAUCAGCUGAUUUUUCGAUCUUGGCCUUAAUUGCAUUUGUUCUGAUGGCUUGCUACUGGGCUGCAAGAAUCAGGCCUUCUGUCGCUUUCUUCAGGGUCCCAUUCGUGAGCCAUGGCCAAAAGUAAAGUUUAUUAUUAUAGUAUUUGAACUGACGAGUUCCCACAACUAUUGUAAUUUAUAAAUGAUUUCAAAAUGUUUAUGUUUUAUUUUAUAGUUGGUUUUAUUGUUAUAUGUAUGGUUGAUUUGCAUUGUUUUAAAAUGUUGUGAGCCGCUUUGGGUCCUGUUUAGGAAGAAAAGCAGGAUAUAAAUAAAGAUUUAUUGGGUUGUUGCAUGUUUUCUGGGCUUUAUGGCCAUGUUCCAGAAGUAUUCUCUCCUGACGUUUCGCCCUCAUCUAUGGCAGGCAUCCUCAGAGGUUGUGAGGUACAGUAGAGUCUCACUUAUCCAACAUAAACGGGCCAGCAGACUGUUGGAUAAGCGAAAAUGUUGGAUAAUAAGGAGGGAUUAAGGAUAAGCCUAUUGAACAUCAAAUUAAAUUAUGAUUUUACAAAUUAAGCACCAAAAACACUAUGCUUUACAACAAAUUGACAGAAAAAGCAGUCCCAAACACGAUAACGUUAUGUAGUAAUUACUAUAUUUACCACCAAAACAUUGCAAUAUAUUGAAACCAUUGACUAAAAAAAUUGGCUACUAAGAAAUUGACUACAAAUAAAGAUAAAACUGCAUAAAAUGAACUUACAAUAGUGACAUUGUCAGAAAUUAAAUCCAUGAAAAGUUCAAAUCUUGCUGCCUAGAGAAACAGCUGUGGAUCGGGGUGGGAGGCAAACUUGAUUGGAUAAUCCCGAACGUUGGAUAAGUGAAUGUUGGAUAAGUGAGACUCAACUGUAUCUCACAACCUCUGAGGAUGCCUGCCAUAGAUGUGGGCAAAACGUGAGGAGAGAAUACUUCUGGAACAUGGCCAUACAGCCCGGAAAACAUACAACAACCCUGUAAUCCCGGCCAUGAAAGCCUUCGACAACACAUUAAAGAUUUAUUAUUAUAUAAUUAUUAUUAUGACUUCAAUGUUGUCAAAUUUAUUUGUACAUGAAUCUAAGCUGGAAUGCAUAGUUGUAUUUCUUGCAUUGCAUUGCUCUCUGCCGUAAUCGUUUUGUUAGAUCCCGGAUAUAUUGUUCUUCUUUGGUGACUUAGGCUGAAAGAAAGCACUUGACCUCAAGUCACCCACUGACCUUUUUAGCUGAAAUCAGGCUGCCUCCACACAACUGUAUAAAAUCCACAUUGAACUGUAUUAUAGGGCUAUGAGGACUCAGAUAACUCAGUUCAAAGCAGAUAUUGUAGAUUAUCUGCCUUGAUCUUCUGGGUUAUGUGGCUGUGUGGAAGGGCCUUCAGAAGGAUUUGAACCCAGGUCUUCCUGUCUUUAGAUGGAGUCUACAACCACUUCUACAAUUGUUUUCAAUAAAAUAAGACAUAUGUAUACUUAGAAUUACAACUUUAAAAUACCAGAUAGUUAUUUUGUAUUUUUCACAUUUUUGUCCCACCUUACCUCUUCAGAACUUGGGUGGGAGACACAUUUCUCUUCCCUGUCCCUCAUUUUUAUCUGUCUUAGGCUAGGCUGAUAGUAACUGGCCCACAAUAACAAUGGGUUUUGUAUCUCUCUGGACACAAAUCGCUUCAUCAUUUUGGUGCUUAAAAUAAUUACCUUCAAUUUUUUGUAUGUUUAGGCCAUAUCAGAUAUGCUAUACAGCGGGCCCUUGGUGUCUGUUGACAUUUGGUUCCUUGUGGAACCCCAAAUCUGUGGAUGGUCAAGCCCCAUUAUAUACAAUGGCAUAGUAAAAUGGUGCCCCUUAUAUAAGAUGUUGUUUGUAGCUUUCAAUAAUGUCUCCCAUUACUAGAUAAUUUUUAAUAUUUUAAAUUGUACAUUUUUUUAAAAAGGAACAUAUUUAUAAUACAUUGCUAAAACAAUAAAAAGAGAAAGUGUACUGCCAGCACAAACUACUUUUUGAAGUAACACCAUUGUGAUAUAGCUUUAAGGCAAUAUCCCUGGCUGGGUGAAAUAUUGUGUGUGUGAGAGAAAACGUGCUCUGUUCUCUUUGGUAUAAGAUUUGUUUAAGAGGGAACAAGAAAGUCGAACUUGUAAAGGACCAGACGGUGCCACAAAGAGACAUGAAUCAAGUAGUGCUCCAUCAGCUGAAAACAUAUAGGCGCACUAUGUCUUACAUAACAAAUGCCCUCCUAAGAUGUACUGCACAACUCCCAUCAUCCCCAGGCAACACAUUUUUUAAAAAAUAAUGCGAUCACUGUGAUAUACAGUAUAUGUAAAGGCAAUAUAACGUUCAGUAGUUUUAAAAACCCUUCUCAAAGUUUUCACAGAUAAAAGAGACGAACAAUCAAGAUAAAACGAAUUUAAAGUAAACGUAAUUUCUUAUUAAGCCUUGUGGUGAAGACUGAGAAAUUUCCAACUUUCAAGUAAAGACGAAGUUCUAAUGGCUUAGAUAACCAUGGCAUCCCUACUGCAGUACUGGAAAAUAACACAUAUUUUUGGUGAUCAUAUCAAAUUUGUUACCACAAACAGAACAAUUGUGAUUAAUAGUGGGUAUCCAAAGGGUCUCACUGCCAUAGAGAAACCACUUGAAACUGGUUCCAUUUGAAAUUCAGCUUUCAGUAGAUUCAGGAACAGGUCUGGCUGAUCGAUGAAAACAAAGCUAAGGGUGUGUGCCUUUGGAUCCAGACAUGUAGUAACAUUUAUUGUAAUGUCUCAAACCCUUUAGUCCAGGGCAAAGACCUGUAUAUACACCCUCCUCCACCAGACAUUACAGAAAGGCAACCCCCAAGUAAAACGUAGCCAACAUGGCCAAUGGGGAGGAAUAUUGGAAGCUGCCAUUCAAUAUUUAGAGAACUGCAAAAACCAACCCCUUUUAACCUAUAAGGCAUUUUUCAAAAUUAUUUUGGAUUGGCAGCUUUUCAGACCAUUGUGGUUCAUAAAAGAGCACUGUCAAGCUUUGGUCAUUCAAGUAUCUGCUAUGGUGUUCAUGAAACUUGCAGAGAAAGGUUUCUCUCUCAAGGAACAGCUGAGUACUGGAGAGGGACACAAGAGAGGCUGCUUUGAAUCUGUAUAGUGCCCCAGCCAAGUUCCUGCUAUACACAAAUCCACCCACAGUCUGUGCUUGGUUUACCCCAAAUUCUUGUGCCAUGGAUUGAUCACCUUGUUGUGCAUUGACAGAAUAAAUUCUUGCAAAAGUUUCCUGUGCUGCUGUGCUGGAAUUACAGCUUGAGACUAAACAAAAAUUGAACAGCUUCUCUGUGCUUGUUUCGACAGCUGCCUUGCCUUCCUGCAGAAGAAAAAAAAAUCAAAAAGAAAAUAGUCAGGAGAAUGGGAAGAAAACUGCAGCUGCUAAAGCCCUAUUCAGCAACAGGGG
Anolis carolinensis (green anole) is the source of this 4837-nucleotide long non-coding RNA. The record is from Ensembl. Lineage: Eukaryota; Metazoa; Chordata; Lepidosauria; Squamata; Anolidae.